ACUCACACUCACACACACACACGCACACACACACUCUCCUGUAAGCUCCGCCCCUCCGGGAGACAGACCGGGAGACCCGCGGAUGAAUAAGUAACAUUCAUUCAAAGAAGCGACGGACGGACUCUUCCUCCUCCUCCUCCUCCUCCUCCUCCUCCUCCGCCGGGACUCGGAGCCUCGUCCGUCCGGUUCGGUGUCGCUCGGAUCCUCGUCGACCGACCGACAGUGUCUCGGGAGGACGUUCAGUCAGACACCAGCAGAAGUGUGUUGAAGAUUCAUCUGAAAUGACACCAUCCAUAACUCAGAGGCCAGUGACAGGAACCUGUUUGUGAACCCAUCUAACCGCUCUCUGUCUGUCAGAAGGUGAACGCUCCUUCCAGAUGCUCACACACACACACAACUACUCCGAUUACAGCUGGAAUCCCUGAACAGUCGACCAGGAGCUGCAGAUGAUUGACAGGCCGACGUGAACAGGGCCAAGGUUCAGCUGCAUCAUCGUGGUGAUGCACAAGAGGAAAUGGUCACUUUUGAGAGGCGGCAAACUAUAUUUGAAUGGAAUAAUUGCACGUUAGUUGUUUCAACUCAACUGCGUCACAUUCAACAGUUACUCUGCUGUUUUCACAACCUGAAGUUACAUAGUUACAAGGAGACAUUUUUUUUUCCACCCCUCGAUAUUGUGAAGCUGUAGGAGGGAAUGUUUUUGCAAGAAAGAAAAAUUGAUUUCAUCCAUCUAGCAAAUAGAUCUGAGGUCACACUGCAGUGAUGUCAUCGCUCCUCUUCUUCCUCCUCCUCCUCCUCCUCCUCCUCCUCAGCCCCGCCUCCUCCGCUCUGGAGUUCCGUUACCACAACAACCGCGAGAUCGAGCAGUACCUCGUCCAGGUCAACGCCUCCAACCCGGACAUCGCGCACCUGUACAGCAUCGGCCAGUCCGUCAGAGGUCAGCAGCUGUGGGUUCUGGCUCUGGGUCGGAGUCCUCGUCGUCACACCCUCGGCGUCCCCGAGUUCAAAUAUGUGGCCAACAUGCACGGCAACGAGGCGCUCGGCCGAGAGCUGCUGCUGCAGCUGAUCGACGACCUGGUGCGCGGUUACCGCGACAACGACACGCGGUCGCUGCGGCUGCUGAGCGGCGCCCGCCUCCACGUGCUCCCCACGAUGAACCCCGACGGCUUCGACGAGGCGAGCACCCACUGCCAGUUCAGCCAGGGCAGGUUCAACUAUAACGGCGUCGAUCUGAACAGGAACUUCCCCGACGCUUUCGCUGGUCUGCGAAGGCAACAGCAGCUGGACGAGGAGAAGAGGGAGGCAGAGGUCCGGGCUGUGAUUGGCUGGCUGAAGACGGAGACUUUCGUCCUCUCGGCAAACCUUCACGGAGGAGCCCUGGUGGCCAGUUACCCUUAUGACAACAGCAACGGGGGCAGCGAGCAGGUGGGCGGGGCCAGCGUCGCCCCCGACGACGACGUGUUCAUCCACCUGGCCAAGGUGUACUCCCACAGCCACGGCUCCAUGCACCGCGGCGACGGCUGCGACGACGGAGGAUCCUUCGUGGAGGGCAUCACCAACGGAUACCAGUGGUAUCCUCUGGCAGGUGGGAUGCAGGACUACAACUACGUGUGGGCUCAGUGUCUGGAGCUGACUCUGGAGUUGUCCUGCUGCAAGUUCCCUCCGGCCGCACAACUUCCUGCUCUGUGGACGGAGAACCGCAACGCUCUGCUGUCCUUCAUCCAGCAGGUCCACCUGGGGGUCAAAGGUCGUGUGUUCGACGGCUCUGGGUCGCCGGUGCAGAACGCCGUCGUGGAGGUCAAAGGUCGAAAGAACAUGUGCCCGUUCAGAACCGACCGACACGGAGAAUACUUCCGCCUGCUGUUGCCGGGCAACUACAGCUUCACCGUGACGUACCCGGGUCACGAGGUUCUGACGGAAACGCUCGACGUGCCGCACGGUCCCGACCGCUACUCCGCCAUGACGCACGACUUCCUGCUGCUGCGGACGCCGGAGAACUCCACCCAGGCUCCUCCCACCAAAGUCACGCCCACGCCCACCUGCAACUACACGUUGAGCCAGGAGGCGGCCGGCGGCGCCAUCGCCACCACCAGGCCCACGUGGGCGGUGCUGAGCGUGGGGCUCGGGUUUGUGGCGGCGCUCCGGUCCGUGGCCGACUGACGAGGCCCGGCGCUCGGGGAAGGUCGCGGGGUCAAACCCUCGGCAUGCUGGGAAACAAGUGACAAAAACACGGAGGUUUCUACAGAGACGUUUUGACGACAGCAUCGUCGCAGCGGAUAAAAUCAGAUUGGCAACGAAUUAGUGAGCGAGGCGGCGGCACAAAGUGUCAAAGUUCGUAACCGCGGGUUGAGCUGGACAAUGAGGAACAAAGUGAACAUUUUGACUCAACGAUGGUUGAAUUUAAUUUAGCUGCUUCGGUUUCAGGAAGCUGGUGUCGUUCAUGGAACAGCCGGGGGCGAGGUCCGAGGAACCUUUCGGUUCCGCUGGUUAUUUUGGUUCCGACUAAACUGGAAAGACAGAAAUUUUGGAGAUCCACGAAUUAUUCCCUGGAAAAUUGUUGAAAAUGAAAAUAUUUAUAUAAAAAAAAUUUUUUUAUAUCUCGCAACGUUAAAAGAAGUGAUUGAAAAAAUCCUGGAUCCGCCCCCUUUUGUCUGGAUACAGGAAGUAAUGGAUUAAUAUUUUCCUUCUUGGCACAUGUCCCAUCAUUCUAUUAAGUUUCGUGGAAUUCCAUACCGUCGUUUUUACAUAAUCCUUCUGACAAACAAACAAACAAACUUCCUCCUCCUCUUCCAAGAUGAUUAACACCAAAGUCACCAAAAUUGUAUUGAUUUUGUUUUUCUAAAGAGAAGUCUGGUUUGUUUUUCGUGUUUCCCUUUUUCGUGGACCCAAUCUGAACGUCUACGUCCACACGAUACGAACUUUGCAUUUAAGGGAAAACAACAACAACAACAACAGUCUCGCAGGAAUAAGAGACCUUUGGUUUAGUCGUCCUCCGGAGGCAGCUGGGACUUUAUUGAUCUGAAAGAGGUCACGGAGGGGAAAGCUCAUGGAGGUCGGAGGUCAGAGGAGGUCGACUGUAACUUUAUACGUGAGCAGGACUUAAGAUGAGUCUGUUUUUGGAAACGGGUCGAGUUCACACCGGAGAAGAAGGACGUCGCAGGAAUUCCUUCGACGCGAGCUAUGAAACGCCGCCACGCGCCCGAACUCACCGAGGGUGCGUUUGAUUUUCACCACGCCAGAGCGCCCGGUUCUCUCGGGACAGUCGAGUCCAGCGGAUCUCAGCCGGAGGCGCUGAGACAAAAUUAGUCACAUUUCUACGUCACUGAUUGUUUUCUUUCCUUUUUUCUUUACUAAUUUUAUUCUGAAAUACCAGAAAAGUUUGACAUGUUCAGGUCAGAGACACUGACGGUCACUGUGGAGAUUAACUUCAUAAUUUAAAAACAACAACAAAAAGCAAUGCACAACAACAGAGAAUGUUAUAAUAUCAAUAUUUCUACCGUAACAAAUUGACUUUUUUUUUUUUUUUACAAAUCACUUAAAAACACUUAAUUGUAACUUUAGAGAUUAAACACACGAGGACACACGUAUGUACAUUUACUAAAUGAACACAAUGACGAUAUAAUGAUAGUAAAUUUGUAGAAAUAUAACCUACAUUUACCUUAAUUAAAAGAAACUAAAAUGACUCAUUGGCACCACCUGGUGGCAGAAGCUGUGCAGCACAACCGGCGAAUAUUUUGUUUCCUGAAUAUUAAGGAAUUAAAGCACAAUUACAAAUCAACUCGUCAACAGAAAUACUCAAAAAGAAACGUGUCAUUUACAACCAGGUACAGCAAACGGAUCAGUCUGACGAGUGGGAAUCGAACCUGCGACGUCAGUCCGUGAGACGAGGCGACCGAAGUAUCUGUACACAAUAUAUACAUAUACGUAUAUACGUAUCCUGUACUGUAUCCUGCUUCGGAGCCGUAACCAAACAGCAGAGUCCUGAUUGAGCUGCGUCACAAACUCUGAGACCUUCUGCAGAAUUCUGCCAAAUAUCAGGUUCUUUUUUGUACUUUUCUACAGUUUUGUAUCGUUCGGAGGAAAAAAGACUCGGUGCCAUAAACAUCCAGACCUCACCAGAUUUCAUAUGAUUGAUGCUUCAUCACACUUUCAGUAGAUGGACACUGAGUGAAGGGAGGAAAUAAAAAGACGUCAGUCUCCUCGUCCUCUUUCUCUCAGUCGUUUCUUUCUCUCAGUCGUUUCUCCUCCAGGUCCAAUGAGCGAUGGGAUGUGGGAACUCAUCACCGAUGACGACGACGACGACCACCAGCAACGACUGCGACAGCACCGUAUUAGAAGGUCGAGCUGAGUCGCCAGAGAUGGUAUCAAAUGAAGACGAUGACGAGAAGCGAAAGAACUACGGAGGAGUGUACGUGGGUUUACCAACAGACCUGAGCAACAUGCCUCAUGUUCAGAUCGGAGCGUUACGAGAGAUGGAGGGAGACGCGUCGUCCCUAAGGAAGCCGCUGUGGGGGAACGGACUGUAGAGUUAAUGAAGAGCCACCAGUGACGGAUGCUUUCGGCUGAACGAUGAAGAGGAGGAGGAAGACUCCCCGCAGGCGUCCCCACGAAGAGGAGCAAGAGGAGGGGGCCUCCCCGCAGGCGUCCCGUCAUCACGAGUCCCCCGGUGGGAACCGGCAGCAGCAGGUGGAGCCUGGAAAAGCUGGGGACGGACUUUCAUGGAGGCGAGGGGCGAACCUGGAGCCUCGAACAAACAGAGAAUCUCAAACAGCUGAUUCAUCACCAUGACUGGAGAAUAUGGUGAUAACAGCUGUUGUUACGCUUCCUGUUGAGAGUUGAGCUGUCUGGUCCCUCGACAGGAAGACACAAGAUCAUUAGAAUCAGUUUAAGACAAAUUUCAAACAAAAACACAAUUUCACGGUAGAAAAAAAAAAUCUUUGACGUGUUAAAAAGUUUGAUUCCUUAUCCCUCAUGAAUGCAAUAAAAAAAAAGUAGUUUGAGAUCAAAUUA
Scophthalmus maximus (turbot) is the source of this 5007-nucleotide RNA transcript. It is a transcript of the gene named carboxypeptidase M, with no coding region annotated. The record is from RefSeq and is a predicted model, not a curated record. The transcript has 17 exons. NCBI's taxonomy places the organism in Eukaryota, Metazoa, Chordata, Actinopteri, Pleuronectiformes, Scophthalmidae.